AUUGAACGCUGGCGGCAGGCUUAACACAUGCAAGUCGAGCGGGGUGAUGGUGCUUGCACUAUCGCUUAGCGGCGGACGGGUGAGUAAUGCUUAGGAAUCUGCCUAUUAGUGGGGGACAACAUCUCGAAGGGGAUGCUAAUACCGCAUACGUCCUACGGGAGAAAGCAGGGGAUCACUUGUGACGUUGCGCUAAUAGAUGAGCCUAAGUCGGAUUAGCUAGUUGGUGGGGUAAAGGCCUACCAAGGCGACGAGCUGUAGCGGGUCUGAGAGGAUGAUCCGCCACACUGGGACUGAGACACGGCCCAGACUCCUACGGGAGGCAGCAGUGGGGAAUAUUGGACAAUGGGGGGAACCCUGAUCCAGCCAUGCCGCGUGUGUGAAGAAGGCCUUAUGGUUGUAAAGCACUUUAAGCGAGGAGGAGGCUCUUUUGGUUAAUACCCAAGAUGAGCGGACGUUACUCGCAGAAUAAGCACCGGCUAACUCUGUGCCAGCCGCCGCCGUAA
RNAcentral lists this ribosomal RNA (503 nucleotides) under uncultured bacterium. Its description in RNAcentral is "partial 16S ribosomal RNA". It matches the Rfam family "Bacterial small subunit ribosomal RNA", at positions 30 to 523 of the family's 1533-position model. The record is from RNAcentral.